GAUGAACGCUGGCGGCGUGCCUAAUACAUGCAAGUCGAGCGAACAGAUGAGAAGCUUGCUUCUCUGAUGUUAGCGGCGGACGGGUGAGUAACACGUGGGUAACCUACCUAUAAGACUGGGAUAACUCCGGGAAACCGGGGCUAAUACCGGAUAAUAUUUUGAACCGCAUGGUUCAAUAGUGAAAGACGGUUCAGGCUGUCACUUAUAGAUGGACCCGCGCCGAAUUAGCUAGUUGGUAAGGUAACGGCUUACCAAGGCGACGAUACGUAGCCGGCCUUAGAGGGUGGUCGGCCACACUGGAACUGAGACACGGUCCAGGCGCCUACGGGAGGCAGCGGUAGGGAAUCUUCCGCAAUGGGCGAAAGCCUGACGGAGCAACGCCGCGUGAGUGAUGAAGGUCUUCGGAUCGUAAACCUCUGUUGUUAGGGAAGAACAAAUGUGUUAGUAACUGAACAAGUCUUGGCGGUACCUAACCAGAAAGCCACGGCUAACUACGUGCCAGCCGCCGCUGUAA
RNAcentral lists this ribosomal RNA (514 nucleotides) under uncultured bacterium. RNAcentral's name for it is "partial 16S ribosomal RNA". It matches the Rfam family "Bacterial small subunit ribosomal RNA", at positions 28 to 523 of the family's 1533-position model. The record is from RNAcentral.